UUGGAGCAGGUGAUCCUUGGACGCCCACAGUACAUCACCUUCAUGAGCGCAUCAGUGAACACCAGUCUAAGGAAGACAUCUCUGAACGUAAUUUUGGAGAUUUUGAUGAGUUCCAUUGAAACAAGGAGGAAUGUGAUGUCCAGUAUCAGUUCUGCAGACCCAAGGACAAAGAAAAUUCUGUGAUAAACUCAUCCAGUGUGACUGUAAUGUGGGUAUCUAUUUGAUACCUCCAAGUAACUGUUUAUUCUUGUGCCAGUUGAGUAGAUGGUACGGGCCAGUUGGUGUUGAUUAGUGAACCACGGACAAAGGGCAUAUGUCACAUGAGUUGCUCCUGGAUAAAGUCACCCAGUCACUUCCUGAUGAAUAUCCUGCAUAAACUCCAAAGACAAAAGAGAGUUAAGGUUGUUUUUCUCACCUUAGACCAGGCAGUGAUAGAAGAACUGGGGGAAGAGAUAAUUGUAUUUAUCUUGGUGAGGGUGACAAAUCAUGGCAAAUGAGCAAAAUGAAAAAGGAUACAAGACACCGGACUUUCAAAUCAACAAUUGUUUCAAAAGACUCCUACUGGAUUCCUGCUAGUGAUGGGAGAAAAUUAUCAUUCUGCUAGUUAAUCUGUAGCCAGAGAUGAUUAAGGAGGUCAUUAAAGGAAAACAAGCUGCCCACCAUGCUGAUGCCUGGUUGUUCAGAUCGUUGAGGUGGUGUAGAGAUGACGCACACUGGCUCAGUUUACCCACAUUUGGAUCUACGGACCUGCAAGUCCUCUGUCAUGACACACCAGCCCUGGGAUAUCACAUAAGCUACAGGUCAGACGCUGCUUUCCAGACAGAAUUAUGGAGAAGACAACCAUCAUUUUGGAGCUAUAGAUAGUGGAUUUCAAGAGAGUACCAAGGUUGCUACUCCAUAAUGGCCAGAAGAGCAAGCCAAAAACAUCAGAGUAAACACAGAAACCUCACAUCUCAGGGAGGUUUGCUUAACAAACAUAUCAAGACCUGGGAUACCUGGAAAACUGCAGGCCCUGCUGGAAAUUUUCCAUGCUCUUCAUUCGUUCUCCUGUAUUUCCUAACGCCAAUAAAAGAGGAGAUCCCUGAGGACACGCCUCUCUUUAAUAUCUGCUUUCCUUGCAAAGAUAAGCCAAAGACCAAUGUAUGUCGUAUCUGCCCCCUUCAGCCUUUGGGACACAAUUUUGAUAAACCUUCCUCUAUUUCACAUUAACAGAAAAUGUCACUUCUCCCUUCCUAAUCUCCAAUGCAAACCUAACAUUUUAGCCCAACGUUUCUCAUGCUUGCACAAGCCAGCUUUUAAAUUCUGCUCAAUUCCAAUUUAAGAGUAGGCAUUGUGCUAGACAUUUAUAGCCCAAGAUCUGUAAGCAAAUAUAAUUCUGUGGACUAAGAAAGCUAACAUUUAAAGAACGGAAAGAGUUUUUUAUUUAAAAAAAAAACGCGAAUCACUAUCACUGCCUUUAUUAAUUCUCUAAGUACAAGCUGUUGUAAAUCUUCUCAGUGUUAGAUCCCACUGGAGAGUGAUUCAUCAUAUUGCACAUAAGCUCACUCCAGGCUGAAAUCAUAUCUAUAACGCAAGGGUGAUUAUGGUUGAACACUGGGCACCAAGAGGCUCUCUAGGAGUGCAGAAUGGAAUAUGGAAAAAGCACAUCCAAAGCACUGAGGGCUUUCUGAAUUGAUGGAUUUUUAAAAAAAUAAUUAAAACUAAGAUGGAGACUGGUGACCUAGAGUCUGAGUCAUGUAUUUGUGAAAACAUUUUAAGAUCUCCAGAUCACUUCCCAGCACAUCUCCUGCUGCUAUUGUUAUUAGAAGUAUCUCUUCUUAUUAAUCUUAAGGGAGGGCUACAGUCUCCAGGGAUACUUAGACCUGAUUAUCAGCGUUUCUAUUACAAAACUCUACCUUUAAAAAAAAAAGUGCUGUAGAUAUUAAAAAUGCUUUCUAACUAGGCAUUGGUUUCAGUCUAUUGAAUUAAAACUCAGACUCCA
Molecule: long non-coding RNA, 1981 nt
Filed under: Homo sapiens (human)
Lineage: Eukaryota; Metazoa; Chordata; Mammalia; Primates; Hominidae
Description: HSALNT0371260
Source: RNAcentral